This 1170-nucleotide long non-coding RNA is filed under the name Numida meleagris (helmeted guineafowl). RNAcentral describes it as "lncRNA (ENSNMEG00000000922.1)". Lineage: Eukaryota; Metazoa; Chordata; Aves; Galliformes; Numididae. The record is from RNAcentral.
CUUGUCCCUGGACCUCCAUGUGCUCCAGACUACAGUGUUUUCUCCCACUUUUCCUUCCUCAGACAUUUCCUGGGAAAACAAAACAAAACAAAAAAACCCACAACCCACACUGACGGCUUUAAACAUCCCAUUUCAGUCCGCAUCCUUCCCCAGCAACUUCUCCAAAGGCCGUCGGGGCUGCUCUUCAGGCAGCCCGGCCGACCUGCAGGGCGGGCUGCCCCCGGCACCGCUGGGCCGAGCCGUGGAUUCGCGGGGCAGCCGCGAAGGAACGCGGAGAGCGCUGGCCGCACGGCGAACCUUACUCACAUAUUCCUUCACGUUUUUCGUCUUCACGGCCUUGUAGGAGGAGUAGGCGGGGUAGAGCGUGCCGAAUAUCAGCCUGCAAGAAGAACAGACCCCUUAGCACUUCUCGGCUCCGCUGCGUCCUGCACCGCCGUUGCCCUACCCGUCUCCACGGCGGGAAGCCCCCAGCAGCUCCCACUCCUCCGCAGCCGCCGCAGGCAGAGCUCAGCCGCCCCCACCACCGCAGCGCUGCCCUUAGGAGGCCGCCGCUCCCGGGCCGCGGAAGCCUACGCAGAGCCGUCAGGACGCGGCCGCAGACCGCGAGACAGCGGCCGCCCCCAGGGACGCGGGGUUCUUCCCCAGGCUGAAAUCUGUGGCAGCGCUGCAGCUCCGCUCCGGGAGGCGGCCGCGCCCCACCCGGAGUGCCCGGCCAGAGAAAGGCCCUGCGCAUCCUUCCUCCCAGGCUCCGGUACUCACACCACGAGACGUGAGAUGAUCCAGGAGACCAUGGCGGCGCCGGGCAGGGUCGGGCGGCGACGCGGGGCUCCGCGGUGGCAGGAGGCGGCUCUUAAAGGGCGGGUUCCUGCAGCAAGCACCGUGCAGCCCCUCCCCGGCUUCUUACAGGGGCGGAGCCGACGGGCCGCAUCGCGCCCCGAGCUUCCCCGCCCCGUUCAGGCAGCACGCGGCACUGGGGCGGUUCCUGCGCCGGUUCGCUCCGAGCGCGAGAACGGUGCUCCCCGGGGGCCGGAGCCUCCUCGCCCCCGGGCGAAGGAGGGUGACGGCAGCGUGGCUGGAAAGAGGACCUACCGGAAAGAUGGCAGGCGACUAACGUACGAUAUAAGAAAUUACAGAAGGAGGAGUGAUGAUUUAAGGCGAUGGAUACUUUAG